AAGUCGUAACAAGGUUUCCGUAGGUGAACCUGCGGAAGGAUCAUUAAAAAUAAUCCUUUUGCACUUCGGUGCAAAACCAACCCAUGUGAACCUUUAGCCGUUUCCUUCCGGUGGGUUUCAAGGGCUUCGAUAUGAAGUUCCCCCGCCGAAAGGGUUUUGUUUUAACCCCUUUUAUUAUUUCACCGAGUCUAAAGAAAAAUUGUUAAUAAAAAUACAACUUUCAACAACGGAUCUCUUGGCUCUC
This 244-nucleotide unclassified non-coding RNA is filed under the name fungal sp. Its description in RNAcentral is "partial internal transcribed spacer region". The stretch from base 1 to 46 matches the Rfam family "Eukaryotic small subunit ribosomal RNA", at positions 1786 to 1831 of the family's 1831-position model. Lineage: Eukaryota; Fungi. The record is from RNAcentral.